Hemicordylus capensis (graceful crag lizard) is the source of this 2379-nucleotide long non-coding RNA. RefSeq lists it as uncharacterized. The transcript is spliced from 2 exons. NCBI's taxonomy places the organism in Eukaryota, Metazoa, Chordata, Lepidosauria, Squamata, Cordylidae. The record is from RefSeq and is a predicted model, not a curated record.
UUCUGCCUUCUACAGCCAAAGAGAAACGUGCAUUCAGACUUUUAUGGUCGUUUUAAGGCUAGGACAAAUCAAGGCCAUUAGUAGGUGGCUCUCCUUCCUCACCCAAAGUGGUAGUUCAUGCCUGCAGUCAAAGAUCUGACCGAGUACCUGAACUUUGGCCUUCCUCUUCACUGCAGCUCUGGAGUGGUCCUCUCACUUCAUCUUAGGUUUUCCUUUACCUCUGAAGUUUCUACCCUGGCCUGGAUUUCUCUCCCCCUGGAUGGCUCCCACUUCCAACAGCCCUUUCUUGGACCCCCAGCCACAGGUGCUUCUCUCCUCCUUUCCGAGGCCCUGGCUUUUUCUACCCCUGCCUCCUGAGCCCUUCUGCCUAUGCUGUCCUACUCUAAGCCCUGAGCAGCUCAGCCAAGGGCUGCCAGAGAUGCUUCUGCCUGUUCGGAACAUUAAGCUAGCUUAGCAAAUCACUGACUGCUAGAGGCUUCAUCACUCCCCCGCUCCUGAAAUCCCUUGGCACAUUACAAUAUUGACUAUUAUUAUUAAUAAUACAGCAGAUUUACAAGGAAGAAAACAAAAUAAAACACUGAAAAUAAAACUCUAAACAGCAAUUAAAUUGAGGUAAUGUUUCCUGAACUUCUUAUGAGAGGAUUUAAUAGAUUCUCUGUAUUCACUCAAUAUUGUUAUAUUUGUUUAAAACAUUUCUAAAAGCCAAACUUUAGCAAAACACAAACUGUGAGGUCAGUUUAAUUUUUCACUGCUAUUUCCCCAUCACCAUUUCCCCCUUUGGAGAAGCCGCUGCCAGUCUGUGUAGACAAUACUGAGCUAGAUAGACCAAUGGUCUGACUCAAUAUAUGGCAGCUUCCUAUGUAUCACUGAUUCUAUAUUUAGACCAUAUUCUGCCAUUUUUAACUCUGCCUAUCAUUGAUCUAAUGCCCUGUUAUCCUCAGAAGUCUUGCCCAAGCAUGGAUUUUUAAAGCUUUUUCAUAUAUUAAUCAAACACUUUUCCUGAGUUACCCCAAUCUGUUCCUGAUGUUUUAGCAUAUCAGUUGUCGAUUUCUACCUACUGAUAAGUUGCAUUAUGGUCUUCAAGUCACUUUGAAUCAGCCAAAUGCUAUGUGAUGCCAUUGAUUGAAGUCACUAAAUUGUUGAUGGGAAAGUUGCCCUGGGGAGGGAGCAUGCAACUCUACAAUCCAUUCCCAUUGUCUUAAGAGCUCAGAUCCAACAGCUCAAGUCAAACAUGCCAAACUAUGGUUUGUGUCAACCAGUCAACAUGGAUGCUCACAUCAUGGUUUGAGCUUCCAGCUUGUUGUAUAACAGGCAAACCAUGGUUUAGAGCUGUUUCUCUGCUUUGAUUUUCUCUUUGGUCAGCACCAGUCUCACACAUUCACUUCCAUCUCUGUUGUAAAGCAGCUUCCUGAGGUGGAGCAAGAGCCAUAACUGUGAUUAACCACAGUCAGUACAAACUGGUUUACAAACCAGCUUCAAAGCAUGGUUUAAUGUUCUGUUUUGGCUCCAACCAUGAUUUGUGAGCUGAUCGAUAUAGGAUCAGCCAUUAAAACAAAUCAUAUUUUGGUUCUACAAACCACAUCUGCACUGGCUGGUUAGAAGAAACUGGCUUGCAAGGAAAAUGGAAAAUCAAUAAACCUUCCAUUAGUCCAUAUCUCUCAGAUCUAAAUUGUUUAACAAAUAAUACAUGCUUUAUGUCUUUCUCUAUUCCAUAUCACAGUUCUUUAGUGGCAGACAAAUGUCACAUCUCCUCCCGGCUUCAGGGCAUAGGAUGUAUGUGUGCCUUUGAAGCUCAAAUGGUUAAGCCUAGAUUCAAAAACUAAUUCAGCCUUGUAAGUACAAAUCUAACCUUGAGCUCUUGAGUUUUGCUUUUCUCCAGAAGAUUUAUGGCUUUCUGGUGAGACGCCUCCAGUUGUGCUUUAAUAGCUUGACUUUCUUUAAUGGUGUCCUGAAGAUCUUGCAAAAGCUUCUCUCUCUCUUUACUAGAUUGUAGAGUCUGUUCUUUGAGGGCUUCUCUGAAAGCAUUUGCUUGCUGAUCCAAAGUUUGCUUCAGCUGUGUGACCUUCAGCCAUAAUAGAGUUCAACACAGUCAUUAACCAUGUAUUUCAGCUGAUUCAAAAUGCAUGAUAUCUUGUGAUUUUUGACCAUUUUUCUUUGACAAGCUGGACUCAUUUAUUUCUGCUAAACAUUUCAUCACUGGGUCAUUAAAAAGCACAGCACCAACAAGGUCAGAAGCCCGCUUAAGUCAGAGAACCUUAAAGGUGCUUGAAGCCCAUUGAAAUCAAUAGGAGUCAAUCAAUCAAUUAUGUAUUUCAGAUUAUACUCUAUCUGUACUGUUGUUGCUCGUCUUUGACCAAAAUAAAGCUAUUGAUUGAUGUA